CCCUUAGAUGUCCUGGGCCGCACGCGCGCUACACUGACAUGUUCAACAAGCCUCCUAGUUCGACAGGAUUUGGGAAAUCUUUGAACGCAUGUCGUGAUAGGGAUAGAUCAUUGCAAUUAUUGAUCUUGAACGAGGAAUUCCUAGUAAACGCGAGUCAUCAGCUCGCAUUGAUUACGUCCCUGCCCUUUGUACACACCGCCCGUCGCACCUACCGAUUGAAUGUUUCGGUGAAGAUUCCGGAUAGGACUUUUUUGAUUUAUUUCAAUUCUGUCUUAAAAGCUAUCUAAACCUCAACAUUGAGAGGAAGGUGAAGGCGGAACA
RNAcentral lists this ribosomal RNA (321 nucleotides) under uncultured eukaryote. RNAcentral describes it as "partial 18S ribosomal RNA". It matches the Rfam family "Eukaryotic small subunit ribosomal RNA", at positions 1470 to 1796 of the family's 1831-position model. The record is from RNAcentral.